Molecule: ribosomal RNA, 465 nt
Filed under: Vreelandella stevensii
Lineage: Bacteria; Pseudomonadati; Pseudomonadota; Gammaproteobacteria; Oceanospirillales; Halomonadaceae
Description: partial 16S ribosomal RNA
Rfam family: Bacterial small subunit ribosomal RNA
Source: RNAcentral
CCUACGGGUGGCAGCAGUGGGGAAUAUUGGACAAUGGGCGAAAGCCUGAUCCAGCCAUGCCGCGUGUGUGAAGAAGGCCUUCGGGUUGUAAAGCACUUUCAGUGGGGAAGAAAGCCUUGGGGCUAAUACCCUCGAGGAAGGACAUCACCCACGGAAGAAGCACCGGCUAACUCCGUGCCAGCAGCCGCGGUAAUACGGAGGGUGCGAGCGUUAAUCGGAAUUACUGGGCGUAAAGCGCGCGUAGGCGGUCUGAUAAGCCGGUUGUGAAAGCCCCGGGCUCAACCUGGGAACGGCAUCCGGAACUGUCAGGCUAGAGUGCAGGAGAGGAAGGUAGAAUUCCCGGUGUAGCGGUGAAAUGCGUAGAGAUCGGGAGGAAUACCAGUGGCGAAGGCGGCCUUCUGGACUGACACUGACGCUGAGGUGCGAAAGCGUGGGUAGCAAACAGGAUUAGAUACCCCUGUAGUC